Molecule: ribosomal RNA, 253 nt
Filed under: uncultured bacterium
Lineage: Bacteria
Description: partial 16S ribosomal RNA
Rfam family: Bacterial small subunit ribosomal RNA
Source: RNAcentral
UACGGAGGGUGCAAGCGUUAUCCGGAUUUACUGGGUUUAAAGGGUGCGUAGGUGGGUUGGUAAGUCAGUGGUGAAAUCUUCGAGCUUAACUCGGAAACUGCCAUUGAUACUAUCAAUCUUGAAUACUUUGGAGGUAAGCGGAAUAUGUCAUGUAGCGGUGAAAUGCUUAGAUAUGACAUAGAACACCAAUUGCGAAGGCAGCUUGCUACACAGUUAUUGACACUGAGGCACGAAAGCGUGGGGAGCAAACAGG